RNAcentral lists this ribosomal RNA (492 nucleotides) under uncultured bacterium. RNAcentral describes it as "partial 16S ribosomal RNA". It matches the Rfam family "Bacterial small subunit ribosomal RNA", at positions 29 to 507 of the family's 1533-position model. The record is from RNAcentral.
AGUGAACGCUGGCGGUAGGCCUAACACAUGCAAGUCGAACGGCAGCACAGUAAGAGCUUGCUCUUACGGGUGGCGAGUGGCGGACGGGUGCGUAAUACAUCGGAAUCUACUUUUUCGUGGGGGAUAACGUAGGGAAACUUACGCUAAUACCGCAUACGACCUACGGGUGAAAGCCGGGGAUCUUCGGACCUUGCGCGAUUGAAUGAGCCGAUGUCGGAUUAGCUAGUUGGCGGGGUAAAGGCCCACCAAGGCGACGAUCCGUAGCUGGUCUGAGAGGGUGAUCAGCCACACUGGAACUGAGACACGGUCCAGACUCCUAAGGGAGGCAGCAGUGGGGAAUAUUGGACAAUGGGCGCAAGCCUGAUCCAGCCAUACCGCGUGGGUGAAGAAGGCCUUCGGGUUGUAAAGCCCUUUUGUUGGGAAAGAAAAGCAGCAGGUUAAUACCCCGCUGUUCUGACGGUACCCAAAGAAUAAGCACCGGCUAACUUCGUG